Molecule: ribosomal RNA, 430 nt
Filed under: Pseudomonadota bacterium
Lineage: Bacteria; Pseudomonadati; Pseudomonadota
Description: Proteobacteria bacterium partial 16S ribosomal RNA
Rfam family: Bacterial small subunit ribosomal RNA
Source: RNAcentral
UGGGGAAUAUUGGACAAUGGGGGGAACCCUGAUCCAGCCAUGCCGCGUGUGUGAAGAAGGCCUUAUGGUUGUAAAGCACUUUAAGCGAGGAGGAGGGUACUGGUAUUAAUACUACCAGCUACUGGACGUUACUCGCAGAAUAAGCACCGGCUAACUCUGUGCCAGCAGCCGCGGUAAUACAGAGGGUGCGAGCGUUAAUCGGAUUUACUGGGCGUAAAGCGUGCGUAGGCGGCUAAUUGAGUCGGAUGUGAAAUCCCCGAGCUUAACUUGGGAAUUGCAUUCGAUACUGGUUAGCUAGAGUGUGGGAGAGGAUGGUAGAAUUCCAGGUGUAGCGGAGAAAUGCGUAGAGAUCUGGAGGAAUACCGAUGGUGAAGGCAGCCAUCUGGCCUAACACUGACGCUGAGGUACGAAAGCAUGGGGAGCAAACAGG